CCUAAGCCCUUUCGACCGGGGUUCAAAUCCCCUUGCUAACU
This 41-nucleotide transfer RNA is filed under the name Lithobates blairi. RNAcentral describes it as "Rana blairi partial tRNA-Leu". The record is from RNAcentral. Lineage: Eukaryota; Metazoa; Chordata; Amphibia; Anura; Ranidae.